UUUAGCAAUAAAAGAGAAAAGACGCAAAGACACAUCGAUAAAUAUUUAAAUAAACGAAAAAUGUACUACAUUUCUUUGAAUCAAGAGACACGCAAUCUAUUCCAGCUUACCCCAGUUGGAAGGUAUUUCGUAUCCAGCUUUCAUGAACGACGUGAUUAUGCCCGUGAUUGCGAAACUUGCAGUCGAACUUCACGAGGCUGGCGUAUCAUGCAGUAAGAUGUACCCAAUAGUACGACGGCGAUUGCAGAACUACGUACUCGAAGAGGCUACCAAAGAAGGAUUUCUGGCCGCGUCGCAGAAUAAGGCAACAGAACAGAAAAGAGCAGAACAGAAAGGCUUGCACAUAUGACAAGGGCUGCAUUGAUGACAAGGGCUACACUUAUGAUGACAAGGGAAGUACAGAUGUCAAGGGCUAUAUUGAUGACAAGGGCUCCGCAGACGACAAGGGCUGAAAUGAUGAUGCAAAAAGCCGCAAAGAUGAUAAGGGCUGCAGAGAUGACAAGGUCUGCAUUGAUGAUAAGGGCUGCCAUGAGGAUGAUAGCUAAAGUGAUAACAAGGGCUGCACUGAUGACAAGGGCUGCAUCGAUGACAAGGGCUGCCCUUACUAAAAAUGCACUGAUGACACGGGCUGCAAUGACGAUGACAAGGCUUGCACUUUUGAUUACAAGAACAUCACAGAUGACACGGGCUGCAUUGAUGGCGAGGGCUCCGCAAAUGACAAGGACUGCAAUGAUGAUGCCAAAAGCCGCCUAGAUGACACUGGCUUUGUAAAGAUGACACAGACUGCACAGGUGACAAGGGCUUUGCAGAUGACAAGGGCUGCAAUAAUGAAAAGGGCUGCAAUGAUAAUGAUAAGGGCGGUACUGAUGAUGAGACGGGUUCCAAUAAUGAUUACAAUAGCUGCACAGAUGACACGAGCUGCACAUAUUACACGGGCUAAGCAGAUGACAAUGGCUGCGCAGAUGACAAAGAUUCGCAGAUGACAAGGGAUGCGCAAAUAACAAGGGCUGCGCAGACGACAAAUGCUGCGCAGACGACGAAUGCUGCGCAGGUGACAAGGGAUGCACAGAUGUCAAGCUCUGUGCAGAUGACAAAGGCUGCGCAGAUGACAAAGGCUGCGCAUAUGACAAUAGAUGCACAGAUGGCAAGGGUUGCGCAAGUGACAAAGGUUGUGUAGAUGACAAAGGCUGCGCAGAUGACAAGGGCUUCGUAGAUGACAAAGGCUGUGUAGAUGACGAAGGCUGUGCAGAUGACAAAGACUGCGCAGAUUACAAACGCUGCGCAGAUGACAAAGGCUGCGCAGAUGACAAUGGAUGUAUAGAUGACAAGGGCUGCACAGAUGAACAAGGCUGCACAGUUGUCACAGGCUGUUCAGAUGACAAGAGUCGCGCAGAUGACAAGGUAUGCACUGACAACAAGGGUUGCACGGAUGACAAGGGAUGCACAGAUGACAAGGGCUGCGAAGAUGACAAAGGCUGCGCAAAUGACAAAGGAUGCGCUGAUGACAAAGGCUGCGCAGGUGACAAGGGAUGCACAGAUGACACGGGCUGGUCAGAUGACAAAGGCUGUGCAGAUGACAAAGGCAGCGCAGAUGACAAGAAAUUCGCAGAUGACAAGUGAUUCGCAGAUGACAAAGGCUACACUGGUGACAAUGGAUACGCAGAUGACAAGGGCUGUGCAGAUGACAAAGGAUGUGCCGAUGACAAGGGCUGCGCAGAUGACAAAGGCUGUGUAGAUGACAAAGGCUGUGGAUAUGACAAUGACUGCACAGAUGACAAACGCUGCGCAGAUGACAAUGAAUGUACAGAUGAAAAGGGCUACGCAGGUGACAAAGGUUGCGCAGGUGACAAAGGCUGUGCAGAUGACAAGGGACGCACUGAUGAAAAGGACUGCGAAGACGACAAAGGCUUCGCAGAUGACAAGGGCUGCGCAGAUGACAAAAGCUGUGCAGAUUACAAGAGUCGCACAGAUGACAAGGGAUGCACUGAUGACAUGGGUUGCAUAGAUGACAAGGUAUGCACAGAUGACACCGGCUGUGAAGUUGGCUAGGGCUGCGCCGAUGACAAAAGCUGCGCAGCUGACCAAGGCUGCGCAAAACACGCGAUGCACAGAUGAAACGGGUUUUUCAGAUGACAAAAGCUGCGCAGAUGACAAAGACUGCGCAGAUAAAAAGUGAUGCGCAGAUGACAGAGGCUGCGCAGAUGACAAUGGAUGCGCAGAUGACAAGGGCUGUGCAGAUGACAAAGGCCUCGAAGAUUACAAAUGCUGCAAAGAUGACAAGGGAUGCACAGAUGAAAAGGGAUGCGCAGAUGAAAAGGGAUGCGCAGAUGACAAAGGCUGCGCAGAUGAUAAAGGCUGUGCAGAUGACAAAGGCUGCGCAGAUGACAAGGGAUACACAUAUGAUAAGAGCUGCGCAAAUGACAAAGGCUGCGCAGAUGACAAGAGUCUCACAUAUGACAAGGGCUGCACAGAUGACAAAGGAUGCGCAUGUGACAAAGGCUGUGCAGAUGACAAAGGCUGCACAGAUAAAAAUAGCUGCGCAGAUAGAUGACUAAGGCUGCGCGGAUGACAAGGGAUGCACAGACUACACGGGCUUCCCAGAUGAAAAGGGCUGUGAAGAUGACUAAUACUGCACCUAUAACAAGGGAUGCAAAGACGACACGGGCUAUGCAGAUGACAAAGGCUGCGCAUAUGACAAGAGUCUUAAAGAUGGCAAAGGCUUUGCAGAUGACAAUGGUCUCACAGAUAGCAAGAGAUGCACAAAUGAAAAGGGCUGUGCAGAUGACAAAGGCUUCGCAUAUGACAAUGGCUAUUCAUUUGACAAGGGCUUAACUUAGGCAAGCGCUGCGCAGAUGACACGGGUUGCACUGACGACAAGGGGUGCACAUAUGACAAGGCCUGCAUUGACAACAAUGGAUGCACAUAUAACAAGGGCUGCGCAGAUGACAAAGGCUGCAAUCAUGACAAGGGCUGCACUCGUGACAAGGGCUGCACUCAUGACAAGACUCUCACUGAUAAAAAUGGCUGCACUGAUGACAAGGGCUGCGCACAUGAUUAGGGCUGUACAAAUGACAAGGGCCUUACUUAUGACAAGGAAUGUGCAGAUGACAAUGGCAUCAAUUAUGAUGACAAGUGCAUCACGGAUGACUCGGGUUGUAAUGAUGUUGACAACGAGCUUGAGGAUUCCAUUACUGGGUGAUGACAAGAACCGCUCGAUGAAAAGAACCUGCAGCUAUUUAAGGAAGAUGCCAAGAGUGGCUUGGCGAAGAAGAAGGCAGCGGGCACAGGAUGGCGACUCCUAAGAAGAAUCCGUGUAGUGUUAAGACGAUUAUGUUGCAUUCAGAAGAUCAAAAAAAUGUGUGCACUUCUGUUAUUAAAUUUAAAUAAAGAUUGAUAAACAUAA
Dreissena polymorpha is the source of this 3403-nucleotide long non-coding RNA. RefSeq lists it as uncharacterized. NCBI's taxonomy places the organism in Eukaryota, Metazoa, Mollusca, Bivalvia, Myida, Dreissenidae. The record is from RefSeq and is a predicted model, not a curated record. The transcript is spliced from 2 exons.